Molecule: ribosomal RNA, 270 nt
Filed under: uncultured bacterium
Lineage: Bacteria
Description: partial 16S ribosomal RNA
Rfam family: Bacterial small subunit ribosomal RNA
Source: RNAcentral
AGCGAACGUUAGCGGCGGGCCUAACACAUGCAAGUCGAACGAGAAUGAGGGCUUCGGCCCUCUAGUAAAGUGGCGGACGGGUGCGUAACACGUGGGUAAUCUACCUUCCGGCGGGGGACAACAGUCCGAAAGGAUUGCUAAUACCGCAUACGUCAGCGGCGCCUACGGGCGCUGUUGGGAAAGAUGGCCUCUCCUUGGAAGCUGUCACCGGAAGAUGAGCCCGCGGCCCAUCAGCUAGUUGGUGAGGUAAUGGCUCACCAAGGCUAAGAC